ACUGCCACGAGGGUAGGGAGCUUUAGAAACGGUGAUGGGGUGCAGGGCCGGCGGCCGAUGGAUUUUAGCCGGGUUCACCCCUGUAACCCAUUACAAGGACAAUCCAUCUUUCGGAUGAAACAGUAUCUUUGGAGCGAGUCAGGUCAGACAGAGUAAUAGAGCGUGAAGCCUGGCAUAAUGACCAUCCAUUUACCUCUGCGAAACAGCCACAUCAGUUCCGAUAAUCGUCUCUUCUCUCUCCCCUGCCUGCUUCGCCUUCUCCACAGAACGAAAGGAGGUAUGUGUGUACAUUAAGUGGCUACUUCCUUGGCCGUCAAGCCCGUCCUGAUAAAAAGGGACCGUAUCAAAUAGCGUUUGUGGGCAGACGCAAACAUUUCUCAAACCGACCCGUCGGGCAAAACCGACACAACGCACCCACAAAAGGGUACGAGGAGGUCCAGCUGAGGUCAGGUUAAACAGUUCGGUUUAUGCGGUCUCGCUGGAAACCAGUGAACAGAUUUUAUGUUUACGCAAAUUAAACUCAAUCUUGGCAACCAACUUCCGGAGUGCCGGCUGGGGAGAGCCUGUGUCCGCAGGAACCCAAAGGGCAGAGGUGCCCUGAUGCGAGCAAGGUGCUCAGCCACGGGGUGCAAUUCCCCCAUCGCUUUAGAGAGAUCUCUAGGCUGAGACCCAGAGGUAAAGAGGUUGGGAGCAAAUGCUGACGAAUUUUUACAGAGGACUAAUUGUGUGGGCCACUUCUUUCCUUCGUUCCUGCAUUAAGCUGCACCGACCACUUUCCCGUCUUUGCCAAAAAAUUCAGAUUCUGACCCCACUGCCCCGGACACAUCUUAACCUUUCUUGACAACUGUAUGGGAAUGAAUGCUUUCAUUUGAUAUUACUGCUUAUAAAUACUGUGGAGAGAGUGACUCAAGGGUGACGACACCAAUUUGACAAUAACACAGACUGUCACUGGCUGAAAUCUUGACCUAACGAUGCAGUAUUUGUACACAUAAAGUCACUCGGUGGCUCAUAAAGGGGUCACCUGUAACUGGAAUGUCUCCUUCCCAGGUCGCUAUGUACAAUGAUUUGACCAUGCCAUUGGUGAGAAGAGUCUCAAAACCCUGUCCUGGUUUCCUAUGUUUAUCUUUCCUGUGAAAAGGGGCUGGAAUCAUUGUUACAUGAUAAACUGAUAGAAUAAUUUCUGCUUAUAGGAGAAAAAAAAGGGGUCACGUUUAUCUUUGAAUUGUAUAUUGGUCAGGCUUAGGUAAAGAUCAGCCUUUAUCUCCUGAACACAAACCAACUAACCACAGAGAGUGAACCAUGAGGAAACCAGUCCUGGACUUAAAAAACAAACAAACAAACAAACAAAAAACAACAACAACAAAAAACAACUCAAUAUCAUACACACCAAGUGUCAGUGAGGACGUGGAGAAACCAAAACUCUCCUAUACUGGAGGGAACCUAAAAUGGAGCAGCCACUUUGGAGAACAGCUGCAGCAUGGAAAAGUUCCUGGGACCCAUAUGGAGCAGUGACCCGAGCUGCUGUAACGACAACACUGGAUCCUUAACCCGCUACACCAUAAGGGAACUCCAGGAAUUUGGCUUUUGGACAAAGAAGAUGGGUAAACAACAAGCUGUCCCUUUGGCUAGAAUUUGCUUUGCCACCGUCCUCAGCUCUCUUUUCCUUCAUAUGGAUGCAGCUAAUGAGACCAUUAUAUGGGGCGGGGGGAGCGAACUGAUAGGCAGGGGACUUAGAAACGUACUAUAAUUUUAUUUUUGGCCACACUCAUGUCAUGUGGAAGUUCCUGGACCAGGGAUAGAAGCCAUGCCACAGCAGUGACAACGUAAGAUCCUUAACUGCUAGGCCACCCGGGAGCUCCUAUAACUUUAGAGUUCAUAAAAUCUUUGCCCAACAGUAAUUAAAACUGUCUAUGGCACCAAGAUAGACAAUAGUCCAAUAGACUGGAGUAGAGAAACUAGACACAGACAUAUGGACGCACCUGAUUUAUGACGAAAGCGGCACUGAAGAGCAUGGGAAAAAGAUGGUCUAUUCAAUAAGUGGUGCCCAGUCAACUGUUUAUCCAUAUGGGAAAUAAAUAAGCCCUGGGCUGUUGCCUCGCACACACACAAAAAUCAAUUCUAGGUGGAUGGUAGGAUGUUGAUUUGAAAGGCACAGCAUACAAGCUCACAGAAUAGAACAGAGGGAAAUAUCUUCAUGACCUUGGGGUAGGGAAUGACUUCUUGAACAAAAAUAAAAAAGCAUCAGCUGUAAAGGAAAAAACCGAUAAUCUGAACUACAUGAACAUGAAAAAUGUUUUCACAGACAACAUUAAAAGAAUGAAAACAUCAAGCACAGAGGUGGAGAAAAUAUGUGCAACACGUAACUACCAAUGGAUACAGAUACAGAAUAUGAAAAGACCUAGAAAUCAAUUUUUAAGAGAUAGUCCAAUAGAAAAAUGAUGCGCGCGACCUGAACGGGCACCUCACUAAAGAUAUCCAAAUGACCCAUCAACACACAGAAAGGGGCUUGAUCUGAAUAGCAAUAAGGGAAAUAGAAAUAAAGCCCAUAAUGUGUAUCCGUCAACGAAUGAAUGGAUAAAGACGUGGCAUACAUUCACGAUGCAUUCAGCCACGAGAAAGAAGGAAGUCCUUCCAUUUACAACAAUGUGCAUGAAUCUUGAGGGCUUCAUGGUAUCUGAAACAAGUCAGACAGAGAAAGACAAAUACUGUAUGAUAAUCACUUACAGUAGAAUCGAAAAAUGAUAAGUCAGAGAAAUAGAGAGAAGAGUGGUGACUUCCUGGGGCAUGGGGGAGGAUGGGGAAAACGGGGGGGGAUACUAGUCAAAGGGUGUAAACUUCCAAAUAUAAGAGGAUCAAGGUCUCAGGAUCUAUCACACAGCAUGGUGAUUACAGCUAAUAAUCCUGUAUCAUACACACACACACACACACACACACAAUACAUUUUGUCUUUUGUCUUUUUAGGGCUGCUCCCAUGGCUUAUGGAGGUUCCCAGGUUAGGGGUCUAAUCGGAGCUGUUGCCAAUGGCCUACUCAAGAGCCACAGCAACACCAGAUCUGAGCCAUGUCUGCGACCUACACCACAGCUCACGGCAACACCAGACCCUUAACCCACUGAGCAAGGCCAGGGGUGGAACCUGCAACCUCAUGGUUCCUAGUCAGAUCUGUUUCCACUGCACCACGACGGGAACUCCCCUAAUACUGUAUUAUAUAUUUGAAUGUGAUCUUAAACAUUCUCAGUACAAAAAAGAAAUGGUAGACGUUCCCACUGUGGCGCAGCAGAAAAGAAUCUGACUGGUAUCCAAGAGGAUGAGGGUUUGAUCCCUGGGCUCGCUCAGUGGGUUGGGGAUCCAGCACUGCCGUGAGCUGUGGUGCAGGUCACAGACGUGGCUUGGAUCCUGUGUGGCCAUGGCUGUGGCACAGGCCAGCAGCUGUAGCUCUGAUUCGACCCCUGGUGUGGAACUUCCAUAUGCCAUGGGUGUGGCCCCAAAAAGGAAGGAAAAAAAAAAAA
RNAcentral lists this long non-coding RNA (3507 nucleotides) under Sus scrofa (pig). Its description in RNAcentral is "lncRNA (ENSSSCG00060053654.1)". The record is from RNAcentral. Lineage: Eukaryota; Metazoa; Chordata; Mammalia; Artiodactyla; Suidae.